UCAUCGGUGGUUCAGUGGUAGAAUGCUCGCCUGCCACACGGGCAGCCCGGGUUCGAUUCCCGGCCAAUGCA
Molecule: transfer RNA, 71 nt
Filed under: Heliconius melpomene (postman butterfly)
Lineage: Eukaryota; Metazoa; Arthropoda; Insecta; Lepidoptera; Nymphalidae
Description: tRNA HMEL006177
Rfam family: tRNA
About the family: Transfer RNA (tRNA) molecules are approximately 80 nucleotides in length. Their secondary structure includes four short double-helical elements and three loops (D, anti-codon, and T loops).
Source: RNAcentral